Long non-coding RNA from Neoarius graeffei (lesser salmon catfish), 1380 nucleotides. RefSeq lists it as uncharacterized. The transcript has 3 exons. Lineage: Eukaryota; Metazoa; Chordata; Actinopteri; Siluriformes; Ariidae. The record is from RefSeq and is a predicted model, not a curated record.
AGAAUAAAAUAUUAACCAAUGACAGAAAAGCAGGGGAACUCCCUCCCACACGUCGGAGCCGGGCGGGUCAGCGCUCAUUCCGCAGCCGCUGCACCGACACACACCAAACCCAUCAGCUUUGCGCUUUAUCAUCCCGAUGAGACGAUGCCAGCUUUGCCAGAGCCACCAAAUUCCCUUCCGAUGCACUGGAAACCAGGAAUUACGAUGACUGAGCUGAGUUGUCGCGCUCUCUAGUAUUCAGCCUAUUAUCAAUCUACUAAAAUAACGCGACUCUGGUGAUGCACUUCUUCUUCCGUCCGAGGAAAACACAUUUCCACGUGCUUUUACUAAAUGAUUUGGGCGUUAGAACUCAAAUAGUCCAGUAGGUCGCGAUCCCAAAACAAGACCAAUAAAAUGCUACAGAUUACAAAAGCAGCCUGGUCCUCAGUGCACAGGGGGAAAUUAGGAAAGGAUCCGUUUGAGUUGUGAAAUAUUAGAUGUGUUUGAUCUCGUCACUAACCUGGCAACAGAAGAGGCGACUUCAAAAGGACACUGGCACUUUAAACGCACUUGGGUGGGGGGUGGGGGGGGAACAAGCCUUUAUGCAAUACAAAAAGACAAGACGAACGGAAGGAAUAUGAAGACUGUAAAGAUAAGUUUGUGGUUGGAUUUGGCGGCAGUGCUGUGAUUUGUUCAUUAAGGCCUGUAAGCUCUCUCUCCUCUGCUGAAGUGUUUAUAGGCUAAAGGGAGCCGCUGACUCGCCCUGAUCAAUAGUCUAUGUUUGAUCUGUGGCUUUAAACUGCGACACAGGACGAUUUCAAGUGGAAAGAGAUUAAGCACACAUGGGAAUGUGUACGACUCACUUCCAGGGAUCUUCUCAGCCAUCAGUGAGCUCAGCUAGCAGACGGAGUACAGCCCUCACUGCAGAGAGGCUCGUACAUGUGUGUGAGUUUGUUCCUGCAUGUCUGCUGCUCAUCUGUUCAGUGCAUGACAGGAGAUCUGCAGAAAGGAAAGAUUAAACUUGUUCCUUUGUGUCAUAUCCUAUCUCAGACUCUCCACUCCUUAGUGAUGUACAGGUGCCGAGGGUUUACAAGAAGGUUCUGGGAUAUUAGAGUUCAACAAAGAAUAUAGAAUAAGGUUUUAAGAAUAAGACUGAGAUUUUGUAAAAUUUACAAUUCAUCUUCUGCUCCUACACAACAUCACCUAACUCUUUACACACUUCCACACUUAGAACGCGUCAAUUACUCAAAAUGUUAGUCACAAUUAAAAUGUUUUCAUUUAAUAACUCAUUAUCUCACAGGAUACGAGUCAGUACAUAGUGAGAUUCUUCAGCCUGUAUUGUACCAGAUGUUUUUUGUGUGUUUUAAGACUGAUUAUAAUAAAGGUUACUGUUAUGACGCA